Molecule: transfer RNA, 87 nt
Filed under: Bullacta caurina
Lineage: Eukaryota; Metazoa; Mollusca; Gastropoda; Cephalaspidea; Haminoeidae
Description: tRNA-Ser
Source: RNAcentral
AAAGUUAGCAGCUUCGAUUUAUCUCCUUAUUUUUGUACUUUGAGGUUUUGAAAGCCUUAUUAGGAGAAAGAAUUUCUCCACUCCUUA